UGGCGAACGGGUGAGUAACACGUGGGUAACCUGCCCAUCAGAAGGGGAUAACACUUGGAAACAGGUGCUAAUACCGUAUAACACUAUUUUCCGCAUGGAAGAAAGUUGAAAGGCGCUUUUGCGUCACUGAUGGAUGGACCCGCGGUGCAUUAGCUAGUUGGUGAGGUAACGGCUCACCAAGGCAACGAUGCAUAGCCGACCUGAGAGGGCGAUCGGCCACACUGGGACUGAGACACGGCCCAGACUCCUACGGGAGGCAGCAGUAGGGAAUCUUCGGCAAUGGACGAAAGUCUGACCGAGCAACGCCGCGUGAGUGAAGAAAGGUUUUCGGAUCGUAAAAACUCUGUUGU
Molecule: ribosomal RNA, 350 nt
Filed under: Enterococcus casseliflavus
Lineage: Bacteria; Bacillati; Bacillota; Bacilli; Lactobacillales; Enterococcaceae
Description: bacterial SSU rRNA
Rfam family: Bacterial small subunit ribosomal RNA
Source: RNAcentral